UUUCAACGCGACCCCAGGUCAGGCGGGAUUACCCGCUGAAUUUAAGCAU
RNAcentral lists this ribosomal RNA (49 nucleotides) under Sibiraea altaiensis. Its description in RNAcentral is "partial 26S ribosomal RNA". The record is from RNAcentral. Lineage: Eukaryota; Viridiplantae; Streptophyta; Magnoliopsida; Rosales; Rosaceae.